UACAGAGCCUGCAAGCGUUAUUCGGAUUCACUGGGCGUAAAGGGUGCGCAGGUGGCCAAGUGUGUCAGGUGUGAAAUCCCGGGGCUUAACUCCGGAACUGCGCCUGAAACUGCAUGGCUAGAGCAUUGGAGAGGGUAGUGGAAUUCACGGUGUAGCAGUGAAAUGCGUAGAUAUCGUGAGGAACACCAGAGGCGAAGGCGACUACCUGGACAAUAGCUGACACUCAGGCACGAAAGCGUGGGGAGCCAAAGGG
This 253-nucleotide ribosomal RNA is filed under the name uncultured bacterium. Its description in RNAcentral is "partial 16S ribosomal RNA". It matches the Rfam family "Bacterial small subunit ribosomal RNA", at positions 524 to 776 of the family's 1533-position model. The record is from RNAcentral.